Molecule: long non-coding RNA, 692 nt
Organism: Helianthus annuus (common sunflower)
Lineage: Eukaryota; Viridiplantae; Streptophyta; Magnoliopsida; Asterales; Asteraceae
Exons: 2
Source: RefSeq, a predicted model, not a curated record
GUUUACAUGGUGAGAACUUGUGGUGAGAACUUGUGGUUAUGGUGAGAACUUGUGGUGAGAACUUGUGGUUUACAUGGUGAGAACUUGUGGUUUUAUAUGGUGAGAACUUAGUGUGCUGAGAGUUUCAUUGUAAUGUUGCGAACUUAGAUGUGUAUUUAUUCUUAGUGUCUUGUACGCAUCAAAAAAAAAACAUUCAAUGAAACAGUGAUAUUUUUGGAGAAAACUUCUUGUGCAAACAAAUCCCAGCUUUGUGGUCAUUAUUCAAUCUGUGUGAUUUUUGAUUGUGCAUACUUUGUGUAUUCAUGGUUCUCAUCUUCUACACCUUCUAUACGAGCUCUACGUUGUAGUACGAGGCACGUGGUGGUUUCCGCACAUCGCGUGUGUGUUCGAUCGGUCCGCUUCGUGUCUUCGUUGAAGGAAGACGACCUUGCAAAACAUGUUCAAUCAUUGUUGCUACAAGGUCAGAAACGCCGCCUGUUGGGAACCUUGUUGCCUCAAGCAUGCAUUCAGGCUCACUUAUUUUAUUUUGCUCUGUAAACGUACUUCUUUGCUUUAUACAUGAAGAGGCCUAAUUGUUUUUGAGUAACAUCUUUAGGUAUUCUACAUAUUUGAAUGGUUUCAUUUAUAGAUUUGUUUUAGUUGUUCGGUAUUUGAGUAUUCUAAGCACAAGUAAGUUGUUAUUUUUCACUUUA